CCACUUUAGACCUGGAGGCUCAGCAUGGACACACUUAGCUUGUCCCUGAUCCCUCAGGAGGUGAGAAGCAGAUCCAGGACCAAUGGCUGUUCUAAUCAGAGUCUGAUACCGCCGGCAGCAGCCGUGGGACCUGCCCUCUGAGGCCAGCCUGGCAGCCAACUCCGUCCCUCUGUGUCCUCAGUUCCUAGAAGUCAACUGGUCUCCAGUUCUAUUCCCCACACCUGAAAAAGGCACAAAGAGUGCUGCCUCACUCACCAGGCUGUGAAGAUUUCCUGCUCUGUUACAGGAACGGAUUGAGCGGCUCCCCUCUCCCCCUGCAACAUGAUGGCCAUUUACCUGCGAGGCACUAGUCUGGUGGGCAAAACGGUUAUCAUCUUUCUUUCUUUCUUUUUGUUUUUUUAAUUAGGGCUUGGAAGGUACCAGAUCAGAUUCACAAUUACAAAAUGCCACAGAAUCCAAAAUAAAAGACCCAGAGUAGCAUCACUG
RNAcentral lists this long non-coding RNA (486 nucleotides) under Mustela putorius furo (domestic ferret). RNAcentral's name for it is "lncRNA (ENSMPUG00000024462.1)". Lineage: Eukaryota; Metazoa; Chordata; Mammalia; Carnivora; Mustelidae. The record is from RNAcentral.